GAAAGUUUCCGCGCCCUCCGGAACGGAACGCCUCGCUGGGCGCCCGGCAGGCGAGCGGCAGCUCCCCGGGGGGCGGCGGUCCCCCCUCGGCCUGUCCCUCCGUCGCCCCCGGGGUCCCGCGCGGGCCCGCUGGCGGGGUCACGCUCCACCCGCAGGCGCUGGGGACCGGAGGCCGCGCCCGCGCAUCCCUCGGCGGCGCCGCCGGUGGCUUUGAAGCGCGCGCGGAGCGGACGCGGGCAGGGCCUUCUCCGCCCUCCUUCCGGGCCCCGCGGCCACCCUCGGGCGCUCGCGGGGCCCGUCUGCAAAGCCUCGCGCCCUGCAAGUCCCGGCUCGGCGGGCCCCGUCCUCCCAAGCCCCGCCCCGGCCGGUGACCCGGGCCGAGCGGCGGCGCGCAAGCCCCGGGCCCCCCGGGCCCCAGGGAGGCAGGAGCCCCGACAACAAUGAGGAGAGGCGGACGGAGCCCCGGCCUCCCUGCAGCCCGGGGAGAGCAAAGGCCAACGCGCGCCUGGACGCCCGCGCGGGCCUCCCUCUCUGGCCGCCGUGCACUUUCACUCCCUGCCACCGAGGGCUUUGCAUCCCUUCGAGGCUUUCUGCACUUCACGUGGAAUCCCCUGUUUCAUUUGCCAGCAGCUCCGUCUGCUGAGAGGGACGUACUUUGGGGACUGCCAAGAAGCAGCAGACACAACUCGGCGCUGCCAAUACAGCAUACGGUUUUGUUCUCUCCUCCCUCCCCACCCCCUCCCUCGCCGCGCCGUCUGGGCCGAGCGGGAGGAGGCGGAGCUGGAGGUGGGGAGGACGGUGGGGGUGGCGGGAGCCCGGCGCCGAACAAACAAGUUCUCGGGCGACUUGUUUACAUAGCAGGUGGACCUGACGUCAGCCAGGAGGCUCCGCCGCGGAGCCCGGCGACAUCCCCGCCCCGCCUCGCGUCGAGAAGUUGGGGGCACCGGGGGGAGCGAGGGAGGGGAGGGGGGGCGCCAGCAUUCAGGCCGGCCGCUUCCAAAAGCACUUUGGGGGAGCGACGACGACCACCGGCACCAACGAGGCAAAGUGAAACCAAACAAACAAGUGGCCCAGCCGCACUUCGGGAGUCCUCGGCGGCGCCCCCUCCCCCCGCCCCUCGCGGGAGAGGCGGCCCCGCGCGCCGCGUGUGUACAGUGCGCAGCGCCAACAACACGCGCGCGCGCGGCCCGGAGCGCGCACCCGCCGGCGCACACACUCACACACAUAGACACACAUACGGACCCGCACACAGAUCCGGGUGGGGGGGGCGGGGUGGGGGAGCGGCAGCGCGAGACAGCGCGAGCCUCCGAGAAAGCGCGAGACACGCCGGCGCGUGCAGCUCCGCGGCGGCCGCUGCGCCCCGGCUCCAGCCCCGCGAGCGCCCGGCCCGGGUAUUUAUGCGGCGGCCGCGUCCGCCGGCUGCGGCUUCCUCCGGGCCCCCCCCUCCUCCCCCGGGGCGCGCACCACCGCCCCCCUGCACGCGCACACACACACACACACACACACACACACACUCGCGGCAGCAGCUGCCGGGACUCGCUCGUGGGUGUGUGUGGUUUGGGGGCUCCUGCCUCGGCGCGGCGGGUGCCACCUCCCGGGACGCUGGCCAGGCGUCCCAGGUCGCGAUCAAACAAAUAAUAGAAGUCUGUUGA
This 1652-nucleotide long non-coding RNA is filed under the name Canis lupus familiaris (dog). Its description in RNAcentral is "lncRNA (ENSCAFG00040015929.1)". Lineage: Eukaryota; Metazoa; Chordata; Mammalia; Carnivora; Canidae. The record is from RNAcentral.